UCUGACAUACUGCCUCAUUCCUCCAGCAGUAAGACUGAAGUCAGUCCGUCUGCAUUCAAAGAAACAAAUUCACUACAUUUUAUAUCAGUGUGCCUCUUUCAAAUGCAAGACAAAAGGACAGAAAUUUUUUCAUUUCUAUCAUCUCUUCCCCUCCACCCCUUCUUUCUCAAAACAGAUCUUCAUGCACAGUGGGUUUUUUUCCUGUCUACUCUGAAACAUUCUUCCACCCCACUCUCAUUAGGAAAAGCUGGAAAUAAAAGUAAAAACAUAAAGUGAGCAUCUGAUAAUGCUUUUACUGUCUUUGCUGUCUCUCAGCAAACCCAGAACAUACUUUUCACUUUAACUGUAUGCUGGGGCAGCUAAUAGCUGUACUGAAAGGGCAUAUAUUAUCUUGGAGUAAUACUGCUAGUAAAAAUAGACAAGCUUUUCUGCAAAUAAAUCCCUUUUCAGAAUGUUUUGUUUUCCUACUUACUAGGAAAUUAUUACAAAUAUAAUAUGAAUGUAGCUAGCGAAUGAACCCUAUUUUAAUUAUACUUGUGCUUUUAUGGAUGGCAGGAUCCUGUUCUGGAGGGCAGACCACAAAGCAGGCAUUGUAGUGUUACCAUGCAUUUGCUGACUCUAAUUUGGCUUAAUGCAUUUUUUCCUUAGCCUAGUAAAACGCCAGAGUUGAUUAAUGUUGAUUAAUAUCGUUCUUCAUAAACUUUUCAUGCUGCACAGUCUGAUUUUAUCUGAGGUAUGUCAACUAGUAUCAUGGGGAGCUUUUUCAGGAAAGCAGUAGUUGAGAGGCUCAAAUAAGUGCUAAUGAUCUCAAUACAUGAGAAAUAAAUUGUUGUUCAAUUCAAUGUUAGCUUUUGUUGUUCCAGUGCCUUUUGUCCCUGGAGUGUACAGGGAACUUCCACAAAAUACCUGCUCCUUUCUUCAGGUACUGGAGCUAAAAAUGGAAUGAAAGACUGUUUGCUUGAAUAACAAAAAUGCUUUUAGAAGCAGUGUAGCAGUGCUACCACUUCUGCCUUUAUCUAUUUGUUCAAUUAAUUGAACUUCCUGAUUAAUUUUCCGGUCAUUUGACAGAUGUGGAGCCUAGAUAGGUACAUUUUUAGAUAGAAAAUACCACAUGCUAAGCUUUAAUUAUCAUUCCUCUCAGGCAUGUUUUCAUUAUCAAAGCUGCUAUAUUCCAGGUCUACAAGAAUUAACCUUAGUUGAAAACCCGAAGAACUAAAGCCCAGCUGGCUUUGGGUUUUGAGGAAAAGGAACAGAGUUAAACCAGUGUUUUCUAUCUCUUGUCAACAAAUAGACCGCAAUGAAAGAAGGACCUCAGUAAAAAGCCAUAGAAUCAUGGAAUGGUUUGGGUUGGAAGGCACCUUAAAGCUCACCCAGUCCUAACCCCCCACUGUGGUCUGGGACACCUCCCACCAGCUCAGGCUGCGCAGGGCACAUCCAGCCUGGCCUUAACACCUCCAGGAGUGGGGCAACCAUGGCUUCUCUGGGCAGCCUGUGCUAGGGCCUCACCUCCCUCUCAGUAAAGAAUUCCUUCCUUACAUCUACAUCUAAAUCUACCCUCUUAGUUAAAAUAAAUUCACCCUUGCCCUAUCACCACAUGCCCUUGUGAAAAAUCCCUUCCCAUCUUUCCUCCAGGCGCCUUUAGGUACUGGGAGGCCUCAAAAUGGUCUCCUCAGAGCCUUCCCAUCUCCAGGCUGAACAUGCCAGCUCCCUCAGCCUUUCUUUACAAGAGAGGUGCUCCAACUCCCUGAGCAUCCUCAGGGCUCCAAGAGGUCCAUAUCUCUCGUGCUGGGGGCUGUAGAGCUGGAUGCAGUAAAGGGCUGUUUUUGCACGGAUGGAUGUUCCCUUCUCUAUUGAACAGUUAUACCACACCUUUAGACUUCCAGCUCUUGCAAUACCAUGGAAAAAUUUCAGCAGCUCUCCUCCAGCAGUAUCCUCCAUCCUACAGAAACCUUUCUCCAAUUUUUUCUUCAAGUCUCACUUUAAUCUCAUCUUAUAAUGGCUGUGGGGGAAAAAAUAGCCAUUUUCCAUUUUUUUUAGUGUUGCUAAUUUAUCUGACCGCUGUCUUCUCAUUUCAACCGCUGUGUUUACGUGAUUUGCUCACUAGUUGUGUUUUGCCUACAGCUUUCUGACUCUGAGUUUUCAGUGACAACGGGCAGUACACUGUGCCAUUCUUUUCUAUAAGUAUUUAGGACACUACAGCCUUCAUACGUAACUGGGUUUUCUAAGAAUUACUGUAGUAAUAGUAAUAAAAAGUCAGGAUAUUAUUAUGACUUUUAAUAAUGGACAAUGAAUUUAGAGACAGAAUUUCACGGUGGACAUAAAAAAAAAAAUAAAAUAAUCCACAGUCACUUCUAUCUUGUAUAGAAUCAGAAGGUUGGGGUUUUCAAGCUGUAACGACAACAGGGAUGAAUAUAUACCCAAGAUCUGGCCCAGGAUAGUCUGUACCAACUCUGGAGGAUGGUCUUAUUACUCAAUGAAAAAAAAAUCGUGUGGGAUUUAAGUGUGCUGAUGUUUCUUCUGAAGCACUUUGAGAUUUAGAAAUUUAGUGGGGGGCAGGGGUUGGAAGGCAGGAAAACAAACAGGCAAGGAAAUGUUGCAUGCCUGUUAUAGGAACACGUGAUCAAGUUCUGAGCCCCUCCUGUACCAGUGUGAGCACAUGCUUUAUGCAUUAAAUAGUAUCUGUAUGUUCAACACUGCUGAUUUUGAGACCUGUAUGGUAUCUGACAAUCCCAUGUCCAAGCUGGGAACAAUUUUUAAUACUACUGAAGGGCCUGUGGGGGACCAAUAAAAGCAGAUUUUUG
Molecule: long non-coding RNA, 2801 nt
Filed under: Gallus gallus (chicken)
Lineage: Eukaryota; Metazoa; Chordata; Aves; Galliformes; Phasianidae
Description: lncRNA (ENSGALG00010013689.1)
Source: RNAcentral